Molecule: transfer RNA, 88 nt
Filed under: Burkholderiaceae bacterium
Lineage: Bacteria; Pseudomonadati; Pseudomonadota; Betaproteobacteria; Burkholderiales; Burkholderiaceae
Description: tRNA-Ser
Rfam family: tRNA
About the family: Transfer RNA (tRNA) molecules are approximately 80 nucleotides in length.
Source: RNAcentral
GGAAGAGUGGCAGAGUGGUCGAUUGCACCGGUCUUGAAAACCGGCGUCUCGAAAGGGACCGUGAGUUCGAAUCUCACCUCUUCCGCCA